GGCAUACCUGUUCGAGCGUCAUUACACCCUCAAGAUAACUCUUUGGCGUUGGGCAAUGCCUAAAGGCAUGCCUCAAAUCAGCGAUGGUGAUAUUCAACCACAGGCGCACAAAUGUCGUCUAGCUGGCGGGAUGUUGUCAGUCAAUUGAUGAAUUUCUAAAUGUUGACCUCGGAUCAGGUAGGAAUACCCGCUGAACUUAA
Molecule: unclassified non-coding RNA, 200 nt
Filed under: soil metagenome
Description: partial contains internal transcribed spacer 2 and large subunit ribosomal RNA
Source: RNAcentral